CUCCCGGCACUUCUGUCGCUUUGGCCAGAAGUCGUCAAAUUCAAGGGAAGAGUAUCACAAACUCUCCCAAUACUUCUGUCGCUUCGGCCAGAAGUCAUUAUACUUUGGGAGGGAGUAUCACAAGCUCUCUCCAUCUUUAAAGGUUCCGAGUUUCAAGGCAACCUUGGAGUGUCGAGUAUUUGUGAUUGGUCGUUUACCGACAAUCACAUAAAUCGAAAAACACUCAUCACAAAAGUUGUGUAGCACCAAAGCACAACCUUCGAGGGGAGUAUCACAAGCUCUCCCGGCGCUUCUGUCGCUUCGGCCAGAAGUCGUCGAAACUCAGGGGGGAGUAUCACAAGCUCUCCCGGCACUUCUGUCGCUUCGGCCAGAAGUCGUCGAAACUCAGGGGGGAGUAUCACAAGCUCUCCCGGCACUUCUGUCGCUUCGGCCAGAGGUCGUCGAAAUUCAGGGGGGAGUAUCACAAGCUCUCCCGGCACUUCUGUCGCUUCGGCAGAAGUCGUCGAAAUUCAGGGGGGAGUAUCACAAGCUCUCCCGGCACUUCUG
This 546-nucleotide long non-coding RNA is filed under the name Zostera marina. Its description in RNAcentral is "long non-coding RNA (ZMAR_LNC003474)". Lineage: Eukaryota; Viridiplantae; Streptophyta; Magnoliopsida; Alismatales; Zosteraceae. The record is from RNAcentral.